Molecule: transfer RNA, 68 nt
Filed under: Hyperolius marmoratus (marbled rush frog)
Lineage: Eukaryota; Metazoa; Chordata; Amphibia; Anura; Hyperoliidae
Description: tRNA-His
Rfam family: tRNA
About the family: Transfer RNA (tRNA) molecules are approximately 80 nucleotides in length.
Source: RNAcentral
GUGAAAAUAGUUUAAAAAAACCUUAGGUUGUGAUCCUAAAAAUGAAGGAUAAUAUCCUUCUUUUCACC